This is a long non-coding RNA of Podarcis raffonei (Aeolian wall lizard), 1283 nucleotides long. RefSeq lists it as uncharacterized. Lineage: Eukaryota; Metazoa; Chordata; Lepidosauria; Squamata; Lacertidae. The transcript has 2 exons. The record is from RefSeq and is a predicted model, not a curated record.
GUUUGAGGGAUUAUGGAGGACAGGGGAGGUGUGAUGGAGUCCUAGAGAAAUUGAGCAAAUUGGCACGUUGAUUUUCUAUGAAUUUUAUAGAUUUUAGUCCCUUUUGACAUUGACAAUUGGAAAGAAAUUGAUAUAUUGUAGCGAAGAAGAAGGUGAAGAAGACAUGCCCCCCCCCUUCCGUAUCAGUCCCCCAUUCGGAGAUAGAUUUGCAUUAAAGUUCUGUAAGAACUUGCAAAUCUUUUCUCCGCACCCUAAAUCUCGGUGAAGGUAGGGGUGCCCUGUGAGUGGGAAUAGGCUCUAAUGGAAAAGGAGGUGGGUUGAGCAGGGCAGCAAAGGAGGGAGCAACACGGACCAAUACAAUGUACGUGUAUGUUAUAUAGGUAUGCACUAAAUAAUAACUUGGUAUCCACCGUACCAGAUGUGUGGGUUUGUGCAAACCUGAAGGGGACUUGCAAACCAUGCCUCUUAAGGUCAUUUGCAAGUAUAGUAGUGCAGAUAGCUGGAUAUAGGAUAUCACAUAAAAGAACACCUGUUGUAUUUUGUUCAAUAGUGGUCUAUGCUUUACAUUUAGCAGGAAGGUCCACUACUGACUGGAAAAAAAAAAUGCAGUUUGAUUUUUUUUUUUUUUAGCUCCACCGUUUUUGUGUUCUCAGGUGCGAAGGUAGCUCUUCUGUGGUCUCACACCGGCAUAGUGUCACAGUAGUGGCAAUCCCUGGUGAAUCCACUUAGGGCUUUCAUAUUAACCAUGUUGCAUGGCACUCACCACAGCUGGCACAGGUUUGGACACGUCAUGAGAGUAAUGUCUUUGCCUUGGCCAUUCUAUGGGAUUUUAUUAUUAUAGGCUCUGGUCUUGCAGUCAUGGGAAGCUACUUGCAGCCUGGAUACACUUGCCCAAUUCAAACUGAGUCCAAUUUGAAUUUAUCUUGCCCCAUGGUUCUCAACUUUUCAAACCAAUCUGUUAAAGCAAAACCACUCUUAAGGGGCACUUGUCCAAAAAAGUCAAUUUAACUCUAUAAGGGAUUAUUCCUGCUAAACCAAAGCAUAUACACCUUCCUGAAGCUCCUCCUUGGUAAAGUGAGUUUUAGCACAUUUUAAAAUGGGUAGGGAAGUUGGCAGAGUGCCAGGUGAAACAACGAAAUGUGGCUAUAAAUUUAUCUAAUUCUAAACAUUGGACUACAUAAUAGCCUGAUCUGUUAAAAGGCAUAAAAUGUAUGAGAAUCCUCCACUGGGGUGUAAGGAAUAAGACAUUAAACAUAAAAACAAUUACACACAAAAAUAGCCCC